Molecule: long non-coding RNA, 1490 nt
Filed under: Toxoplasma gondii VEG
Lineage: Eukaryota; Apicomplexa; Conoidasida; Eucoccidiorida; Sarcocystidae
Source: RNAcentral
AUUUUAACGACGUUUAGGACGGGUGGGACGAUGCAGCCACAGAACUCCCGCCAGCGACGGGUGGUUGUUCUCAAGAUUGGGCGUCACUUCUUUAGCAGCCCUAGCGUUUUUUUGGCAUUGCUUGUCAGUUUCAAGAAGCGAGUACUUGUCACGCCGUCACGAAAAGGCCGUCCAAGUGGACAGGGCACACUGCGACUGACGACGAAAAAGCAAACACGGUUGCCUGCGGCAACCCUUGUACGUACCACGCUGGGGACACGCAUGUGUGCCUUCUCUUUCAGAAUCACGAAACGCCUCACAACUAACAGAGAACAGCGUGGGUGAUUCGCGCGGCGUCUCGUCUUCGUUGAAAAAAAAAGUGAAUCCUCCGCUGUCUAGAUACAAGUGGACAGAUGUGUCUCGUCAUCCUCGCUCGACAAAGCAAGCCCUUCAAGAGAUACGUGGCCUACAUUUGGACACCGCCGCACGUUAUCUGCACUGAUUUAAUCUGUUGUUUCUUUGGGGUCGUUGGCAUGAAUGCCUCGCCGGUCUUGUGGCAGUGAGGCUGUACACAAGUAUGCGUUACCAAAGAGCAAUGUCCGAAGGAGGUUGGACAGCGCAACCUGACUUCGACUGAGCACGACGAGUCAUACGUCUCCAACCGCACACGAAAACAUGCAAGAGUAUUUCUUCUUCGCCAGCCAAGAUGGUUCGCGAUUCGAUUGCGCGCUGGAAACAACAUAGAGUGUACCGUCCGAUCUUGGUUCUGCAGAAGUGGUAGUGGGGGAUGAGUUAGUGGAAUUACAACCUGGUUGUCCAUCCCUCCUAGGCUUGCCCGAGGGUUGUGUUUUACGGAGGCCUGUGAGUGUUUUGUGAGGCGUCAACGAGUAUGGUGGCCCGCCGAUGUGUCAUUUCAUGAUUCUCAUGGAGUGGUGAAGUUUCUACAGGGUGUCUUCUUCAACUGAGAACACAUUCAUUUAUCACCUUUGGUUGCGGGUUACUGCUCCUGUAGUCCGAUUCAUGAAGGCUGUGUAGUUCAGGAUUUUUAUUGUAGAAGGCUCCUUCACCGUCCGUUCUAUUUGCUUGCUUCCGAGAAUGUUUUUUGAUACCAUGCACUUUGCAAUGUGGCUGGGUAGGACCCUCAUCUCAGUUUCCAUACAAAAAUGGAUGUGAAUAUACCCUAACAACACGGGUUGGGAUUGAGGAGUCCCAUCUUUAACACGGUUAUCGCUAAUCUCAAUGCUGCAAUCGGUAUGGCCCCAUCUUCAUUUGCAUUUCUUUUUCGAACGUCUGGGUCCUGAAGAGAGCUACGUGGCAUGGCCGAGUAAGCGUUUCGUACUGAGAGCGUGCACGUCCAUCCGAAGGUGUUCUUUUAUCAUAAAUGUACCUCUAAACACGCAUGCUUUCCCGUGCAUGAAAGUGACAAAAAGGGCGUACAGUCAAGCACUCUGAAGCGUAUUCAAUAUGCAGGAAGCCCAUCAACUAAGGAAAGAAAACUCCUGGAAGUCAUC